GUUUAAGGUUCUCUUUGAUUCGAUAUAGAGUAAAAGAGCUAAGAGGGAAUCCGGUCCAGAUAUGAACUAAAGCCGGAGCUGCCCCCGCAACUGUAAAUGGUUAGUGAUGGUCGAUAAACCACUGGAGUUUUUUCUCCGGGAAGGUGACCUUAGCGCAAAAAGCCAUGAGCCAGGAGACCUGCCUUGAAUAAAAA
This 194-nucleotide non-coding RNA is filed under the name uncultured Bartonella sp. Lineage: Bacteria; Pseudomonadati; Pseudomonadota; Alphaproteobacteria; Hyphomicrobiales; Bartonellaceae. The record is from RNAcentral.